UACGGGGGGGGGCAAGCGUUGUUCGGAAUUACUGGGCGUAAAGGGUCUGUAGGUGGCUUGCUAAGUCAGACGUGAAAUCCCUCAGCUUAACUGGGGAACUGCGUCUGAGACUGGCGAGCUUGAGGGCAGGAGAGGAACGCGGAAUUCCAGGUGUAGCGGUGAAAUGCGUAGAUAUCUGGAGGAACACCGGUGGCGAAGGCGGCGUUCUGGACUGCAUCUGACACUGAAAGACGAAAGCCAGGGGAGCAAACGGG
RNAcentral lists this ribosomal RNA (254 nucleotides) under uncultured bacterium. RNAcentral describes it as "partial 16S ribosomal RNA". It matches the Rfam family "Bacterial small subunit ribosomal RNA", at positions 524 to 776 of the family's 1533-position model. The record is from RNAcentral.